GGACAAAAGUCUAUAGCCAGUGCAUUCGUAACUCCCCAUGCACAAGAGCUGACUGUGGCUCUGGGAAGACAUUUUACUCAUUUGCUUUCUUUUUUCUUGUAGUCUUCUUGUCCAGUUCUCAGGUGUUUACCACCUAUUAGAAUUUCACCUGUAUGGGUCCUGUGUUUGAGAAAGUCCCAGGACCUGUCAGCUCUAUAGGCCUCAUAAAAGACAGCUCUGUUCAGGUCUUGAAAGGGACUGCAGUUAAAAGCUAGGGCUAGGACUUGGAGGAUGUGUAGGCAAACGGAAGGAGAGCCGGGGAAGAAAAACCGAAAUGGAUUCAUUCUCUGUCCUGGAUGGAGGAGGAGAGGAGAAGCGGACGUGCAAGCUUCCUUCAGCUGCCUCUGUCCGGUGGAAAGUGCUCAGACCCCCGGGGCUGCGCCGGGCUGAGGCUCCGCACGGACUUUCGCUCCAAGCUGCCAAUCAAGGCUCUCGCUAGCCACCACCCUGCUCUGGCACCGACACGAUCUGCAGGAUCUCCCCCUGUGAGAUGCAACUCAGCAGCUCUGUCCCCUCUGCCAUCUCAGCGCUGCCAGUGGAGAAGCCCAGGAGGAGCACAGAGCAGUGGCUGAGCAGCAAUCUGAAUAUUCGUAUUUAACUCUUCAAACAACAGAAGAUACUUCAAAACCAAGUGAGAGACAAAAUGCCAUUAAACUUUCAAUUAUUAAACCUCUGUUUAGCUGUACUCCAGAAAUGAGCAGUUCAUAACAAACUGGGAAUUCUGAUUCACAGUUUGCCAUCAGGAGCCCUUAAGUAGGAUUUUUCCAGCUAUAAUGCGGUGUACUCUUCAGUGUUCCCUUUCGCAAGAUGCUAUUUCAAGUAUAGGAGCAUGACAAAAAUUUACAUAAAAGUUUCGUCUAUAAUAUGUGAUUGCUUUGAAAUUAAGAACCACCAGUUUUCCCCUUAUUGUUUUAGAAAUCAAGAGUGUACUUUGUUUUCUCGUUUACUUAGUGCGCUUUCUGAUGCAUUUCAAGUGUUUUCUGUCAAUACCAUGAGACCUUGCUUACCUGGUAAAUUUUAUGUGUGAAAUGAUUAGUGUUCGAAGUGCCUGAAAAAGCCAAAGGUAACGAUGUCUGACAACUUUUCUUUUUUUUAAUUUUUCUCUUAAAUAAUAUUUCAUGGUACAUUAAGCAGGUUUCUUCUUAAGAAACCAAAGCAACAUAUUGCCACAUGCAUACUUAAUGUUUCAUCAAGCAGCUAGUUUUUAAAAGGAAAAAAGCAGAAGGCAGCAUGGAAUCCUUCCUGAGCCUUUUCUCAGUUUGUCCCAGAUUUGGUAAAGAAUGGUAAUAAUUUGGAGUCAGAUACAGAAAGAAAAAUAAAUAUUAUUUUAUGAUAAACCUCUCAGCGUGUCAUUUGCAAUCACAGGCAGAUCCUAGAAAUGCUACUUGUUAAAUCCAUCGAACAUUACUUUUUCCGAAGUAGAAAUGUUUUUAGCCAAACUGCUUUCCCGAUGUUCACUUCGGGUGUACCAGUCAGAGCCAGAGCAGCCCAUGAGAGAAGCAAACAAUUAAAACAUUUAUGUAUUUGAUUGCUGAUACACAUCCCUACAAGGUAGAUUUUAACAUUUUUUUUUCUUUUUAAGGGUUUUUUUUGGUUUUUUUUCGGUAAGAAGGAUAAGCUUUGAGUGCCCAGUCACCGUGGUAACUGCCAGAAAAAUUCUCCUGAAGUUUGAAGAGGUCAGCUAACGGGGUCAACAACUCUGGCCUCUCUCUGAGCUGGGCCUGGCAGGCUCCAUCCUGUGGUUGGGGUGUUAGCGCAGGCUGAGCCCUGGGAGGUGGACCAUUCCAGCUCUGAUAUAAAUUUUUUGAGUCAGUUCACGGCCUGGACUCUCCAGGUGGCCUCUAAAAUCGAUUGUGACCUUGUGACCCUGUCUAACGGAGGCAUAGCAUCCAACCUAAGUAAGGAUUUAGCCAGGAACGACAGCUUUCCACUGAGUGUUAUUGGGGACAGUACAAACAGUUUUGGAAGCAAGGAGGUAGGUAUGAGGAGUAGGGGUCAUUAAAAACAUAUUAAAAAACAAUUUAAAAAAUCCUUGUUAGUGGUCAGUUUUUAUUAGCAGUAACUGUUCCUUAAAUAAACUCUUCUGGCAACUAUUUUUUUCUUCCCUAACAAUAUUGUAUCAAGUAUUUCAGUGCAUUAAAGCAUAUGAAAAAUUGUCACUUUAUAUAUUCCAAACCAAACAAAUAUCUUAUAUACUGCUGGAUUUUGAACUUGUAAAUGAAGCUGAUGGACAUGUGUUGAACUAGAUGUCUUUGAAGCAGUUUUUUUCCCUUAAUGUCAUAAAACCCAGGAGGCUGCUUGUUAAAUCAGGUUGUUUAUUUUAGGAAAUAACUUCUCUGAUAUGUGCAUUCUUUUGAGAUUCAAAAGGCUCUUAAUCCAUGUAAUUUUAUUUUUAAACUAGGAAAUUAAGUCAUGUUCAGAAAAGUGUGGCAUCAAAGUGUGAGUGUUUCACAGGUCAGUUCCUUUGCUGAUUUCCGAUACAAAUAGACAAGUCACAAAUUUGGCUAUCUAUUUUUGUAGAAAAAAACUGUAGUCAUAUUGAGAUCAUAUUUACAGAGAAUAUUAUAUUUUUUCCUUUAAGAUUUUAAGCAACAAACUCUGUGGGGGAGGGAGAGGUUUUGGCAGAGGUCUGAUUUUGUUAUCAAGUCUAGAAAUUUGCCCUUCUGAGCAAGUGGACAUGCUCUUGUGUUUUACUCCUGCUUCUACAAAACCUCAGCUCCACAUGCAUUGCUCACAUGAGUAAUCAGUAGUCAUCAGAUGAGUAACGGGAACUACAUUGAAGAGGGAAGUCCAGUCUCCCAGGGAAAAUGCUCUUGGGCUUUGAGUGACUUUAAAACUGCUCUGAAGGAAGAAAAUUGCAUUAACAUUUGCUCCCAGCCUUAGAAAAAUUAUGCAAACUUAUCCCAGUGGGAAUCUUGCCCAAACACUUUUUGUGCCUCACAGGAGAGGGCCUGGCUCUGACGUCCUUCCUCCCAGUCACUUACCUAUUGAGCAGUUCCCCUGAGGUUGGAGGGGCUGUGCAGAGAUGGGGAUAUUAAAUAUGGUUCAGGAUGAGAGUCUGAGCUGCCCUACAUGAGAAAUAUCACUGUACUGUUGAGAAGUCCCAUAGCUUACAACAGCAAGAGUCUGUAGCUUUUACUUGCAGUAACACCUUGCUCUGAAGAAAGUCCCUCCAAAUCCAUGGAUGCCUGUUGGCCAAGGUUCUACCUCUGAUAGGGUUGGCAUAAUCUGCUCCAUUGGGAUUAUUUGAGGAGCAGGAGCUUGAUUUCUAAGAAUAAGAAGUGGGGACAAACUGUGCCCUAAAAUAAUUUAGAGCCCAGACUUGCACAUGCAGAUAUCAAUGGUGACACUCUAUAUAAUUUGACCCUGAAUACUAUUUGUAGCUUCUUGUUGUCAUCCUUUUUUUUAAUAGAACUCAGCUGAAAAUUCAUUCACAUUAGCAAGCCUGUUGAUUCAGGGGAGCGCCACGUGUGACUAAGCUUGGCAAGACGUAGCGUACAGCCCUGUGGUAAGGACCAGCACAUUUGCUUGGUUUUCAAAAAAAAACCCCAAAACCCAAACAAGAUUCAAAAUUAGGAAUGGUGAGCAGCUGGAAGGUGAAUCCUCAGUAUUUUCCAAAGCACCUGCAGAAUUUUUAGCAGCUUUUAUUUAUUUUUUAUAUUGAUACCUCUUCUGUAAUGUGGGCAUACAGCACACCAGUUCCACCUGACAAACGGGGUCACUGCUAAAACAGAUGAUGCAACUAUUACACUGGAACUUUCGGACCAAAAUUGCCCAAAGUCUCAGGCUUAGAAUCAGGAAUCGUUGGCAGAGGGAGCAACAAGAGGAUCUCAAGAGCUUGGACUUGCUGCAAAUUCUUUAGCGUUGAUUUCUGUAGAUCCCACUGAAUUUAUAAUCAACUGCAAAGCAUUUUUCAAGCAUUUGAUGUCACUUGAAACAGGUCCUGGGUUUGCAUCUUCUGUACCUCUUCACAUUGUUCAGUUUUUCAUCCACAUCCUGCGAUAUGGAGUGCCUAGAGGUGCAUAUGUUAGCAGUAGCUGCAGUGGGACUAUUCACCUUCCUCUUCCCCUCCACUCAGUGAUGUACUCCUGCAGAUUAUUUUGAUUCCUUGAAAUAUUUUCUGAAGCGCAGGUUCAUUCAAUUUUAACAGAGUGAUUUAUAGGAAUGGUCUUUAUACAGUGUUAGCGACAAACAGUCAGGAUCACUAAAGGCUCUGGACUGCUGGUUCCUUGCCUCUAUCCUAUAGAUCACUGAUAAUCCAUGAGACCUUGGCAAGUCUGCUGCAAGUGGUCUGUGGAACGGUAUUAAAUAAUAAUGUCCGUAGUCUUCAGUUAAAAUUUUGAUGAGAAGAGUAUGUGGCAAGAAAAUCUGAAAGCUGAGAGAAAUCUACUAGCCUGAACAUUCUGAGAAUGUCUGGAAUAUACAAAUGCAUCUCAGCCUGUGGUCCAUGAGGCAUUAGAAGAUAUUUUGAGAAUGUUUUCAAAUUAAAUACAUGCCCAGUUAAAUGAACACACUUUAUUACUCAUACAAGCAAGGAAAAGAAAGCUAUCAAAAAAUCCCCACUUCAAAACAAUACAAAGAAAAUAAAAGUAAUAAAUGAACAAUGAAGCCUCAGCCUAGUUGUGUUUGUUGGUAUCUAAGCCCACGUUCCCAGCACUCUGCAGAGACCAAGCAGCACUGCUCUAGAAAGCAGCAUGUUGCCAUAGCCUGGAUGAGGGCUGGCAAAGGUCUGUAUGUUCUGGAGGAAGCAAGGAGAGCAAGUGAGCGUUGGGACUUACAGGUGCACUGGCAGAAGGUCCUGAACAAGUGCUGCAUUUCCUUCUCCUUCUACUUCUGUCUGCUUGGAGUGUGUCUGUGCCUGUCGUUUUUCCCUAUUCUGGGUGGACUAAGACAGAGAAAGCACUUACAGAAGAUUUGUGGAAGGGUUAUAAUAUAGGUUGAUACUUUAGGAGCUAUAGGAAGUUCUUAAUUUUUUUCCUGCCUAUGGGACUGUCAUUUACAGAACCACUAUUGUCUCAUCUUUUAUAAGGAUAUUUCCUUACAUUAAGGUUCCAAGAGCAACCGGACUUUGCCUUUGUUCACAGCUAUUUCAGUUUGUAGCUUAAUCCACAUCUAGUAUUCUGUUUACGCUUUCACUGCUCUCCUAUGCAGCAGACUGUACCUACAGGCUGGCUUAGAUGACAUUAUUCUCAAAACAUUAAUUUCUGUGUUUCUUUUUUUCCCCCCGAUUUGUCUGUGCAUCUUGAUUUUGCAUUAACCUAGUUUAUUACAGGUAACAUGAUAAAGCAUGUGGAACUUUAUGCAUUUAGUU
Strigops habroptila (Kakapo) is the source of this 5350-nucleotide long non-coding RNA. Lineage: Eukaryota; Metazoa; Chordata; Aves; Psittaciformes; Psittacidae. The record is from Ensembl.